Long non-coding RNA from Papaver somniferum (opium poppy), 1310 nucleotides. RefSeq lists it as uncharacterized. The record is from RefSeq and is a predicted model, not a curated record. The transcript has 2 exons. NCBI's taxonomy places the organism in Eukaryota, Viridiplantae, Streptophyta, Magnoliopsida, Ranunculales, Papaveraceae.
ACCACUUUCCUAAAUUGGGAUUGGGUUCAGAAAAGAAACCUUAUCCCUAUGACCAACCUACAACAGGAAAGUGGUUGUUUUUGGACGCACAAAAGAAGUCUAAAGAAGAGCAGUUGACUUCGUUGAGGGAGAAAUUGGAUGAACUUACGGUGAACGAUGUGGUAUUUCACCCAUACACCGUACCCGAUGAUGUCUCUGUAGAUGAAGACGACUUGAAUGGUUUCUCUACCGUCUCGCCUUACUAUGGACCAAUUUGGUGUCCUAACGGCUACGCAAUAUAUAAUCCAAGAAGAGUACUAAGAAAACUUUGUUGCGUUCAAAUGGAUCCCGAUGUGGAGAAUGAAAAUUUCACUUUGCUGGUUGAAGGAACAAAGAACUCCGAGAAGUAUUUUGAGCCAAAACAUGAACCAACUCCUGCGGUAGCACAUUAGAAUGCACUUACUAACUACCACAUACCAAGAGGUGAUUUGGUACCUUGUGGGGAAGAUGUAAAUGCAUGUGAGGAAGAUUAUAUGGAGUAUUAUGAAGAAAUUAGUCAUCCUUUCGUGAUAAAUAAAGAACAACAAGCUAAGACUGAUGCGUCGAAGGCGAAGGGAAAGGAGAGGGAGGCUAAUAGAGCUCAGAAGGAGGUGCCUAUUUGUGGAGAAGAAGCUAAAAGGUUAUGGGAUAAUGUGGUGUUGAAGGGUUCGAAAUUGUUGAAGAAAUGGAUGGCUAAAAUCAAAAGUGGAGAGCCGAUGGAGACAAAGGAACAAACCGCCUACUACAAGCAGUGGGAGGGUCUCAUAACUAAAAGAAUGGUGUAGCCAAGUAGGUGUAAACAAUUAAAGAGAGGUCGACAACAAGGUGAAGGUUCAAGUCGCGCUGUGGACGAAACCGGUGGAGGAGACGAAACCCCAAGUGAUGAGGAAGUUCGUCCCAAAACUCGUGGUAAACAAGGAGGUGGUAAGAAGAGUCGACAACAAGGACAAGGUUCAAGUCGCGCUGAGCAGGAAACCCCAAGUGAUGAGGAAGUUAACCUAAAUCUCGUGGUAAACAAGGAGGUGGUAAGAGGGGUCGACAACAAGGAUAAGGUUCAAGUCGCGCUGUGGAGGAAACCGGUCGAGGAGACGAUACCACAAGUGAUGAGGAAGUUCGUCCCAAAACUCGUGGUAAACAAGGAGGUGGCAAGAGGGGUCGUAAAAGUGGUCGUUAGUGAUUUCGUAUGGUUUAAUUUGGUGUGUUUGUGUUUUUUAAAAAAUUACUUAAGGAUCUCGUAGUUUGGUAUGUAUAACACUUUUAUAUUUGUUUUAGAACCUUGUUUGUGUUUUCAA